Molecule: ribosomal RNA, 400 nt
Filed under: uncultured bacterium
Lineage: Bacteria
Description: bacterial SSU rRNA
Rfam family: Bacterial small subunit ribosomal RNA
Source: RNAcentral
UGAGGGAUUUUCGGCAAUGGGCGAAAGCCUGACCGAGCGACGCCGCGUGAGCGAAGAAGGCCUUCGGGUCGUAAAGCUCUGUCUAGGGGGACGAGCAAGGACGGUACCCCUGGAGGAAGCCACGGCUAACUACGUGCCAGCAGCCGCGGUAAUACGUAGGUGGCGAGCGUUGUCCGGAAUUACUGGGCGUAAAGGGCGCGCAGGCGGCGCGUUAAGUCCGGGGUGAAAUCCCACGGCUCAACUGUGGGGGGACCCUGGAUACUGGCGUGCUGGAGUGCGGGAGAGGGAAGCGGAAUUCCACGUGUAACGGUGAAAUGUAUAGAUAUGUGGAGGAACACCGGUGGCGAAGGCGGCUUCCUGGACCGUAACUGACGCUGAGGCGCGAAAGCUGGGGGAGCGA